AUGGAUGGAUCCCCCGUACGUCGGUCCGCCCGCGUCCCCUCCGGACAUAUUCGCGCCGUCGUGGCCGCUCGUGGCACACCCAGCACCCCCGCCCCGGCAUCCAACGACGCACGCAAGCAACCCCAACGCUCGCUACGCGCGCCGCGCAACCACCACCGGCAUCCACUGUCCACUGCCCCAACGGCCAAGGAUAAUCAAACCACGGCACGGCAGGGCAGUGGUUCGGCCGGCCAGUGGCCACUCCCGAUCUCACUAGCUACCCAAUCACUAGUUAGGCCUCGGGUACCUGCGUGCGUACCACGCGGGGGCGGACCCGAUCGCGACGACACCACCGGCACUAGGCGGGCGAGGCCGAUGGCUCGAGGAACACGUGGGGGAAAGGCGAGCGCACGCAACGCAUAUCCAACGGGGACGGAGACGUGCCGCUUGCCGUUGCCGUUGCCGCCCUGGGAAAGGCGCCGGCCGAGUCGCCGAACCCGAGCCGGCUGCGGCUGCGGAAAAGUCAGGUGCGACGGAACGGACCAGCUCCAUCGGCCCAGCCGGGGCCAGGCAAGGCGAGAGAGAGAGAGAGAGAGAGAGAGAGAGAGAGAGAGAGAGAGAGAGAGAGGGGCUUCCUGCCGACCCCGUACGGCGUAA
This 636-nucleotide ribosomal RNA is filed under the name Triticum aestivum (bread wheat). RNAcentral's name for it is "partial small subunit ribosomal RNA". The record is from RNAcentral. Lineage: Eukaryota; Viridiplantae; Streptophyta; Magnoliopsida; Poales; Poaceae.